RNAcentral lists this unclassified non-coding RNA (197 nucleotides) under uncultured fungus. RNAcentral's name for it is "sequence contains ITS1". The stretch from base 1 to 107 matches the Rfam family "5.8S ribosomal RNA", at positions 50 to 154 of the family's 154-position model. Rfam says of the family: 5.8S ribosomal RNA (5.8S rRNA) is a component of the large subunit of the eukaryotic ribosome. It is transcribed by RNA polymerase I as part of the 45S precursor that also contains 18S and 28S rRNA. Functionally, it is thought that 5.8S rRNA may be involved in ribosome translocation. Lineage: Eukaryota; Fungi. The record is from RNAcentral.
GAAAUGCGAUACUUGGUGUGAAUUGCAGAAUCCCGUGAACCAUCGAGUCUUUGAACGCAAGUUGCGCCCGAAGCCAUUAGGCCGAGGGCACGCCUGCCUGGGUGUCACACAUCGUUUCCCCAACGCAAACAUGUAACAAUGUUCCUCCGCUUAUUGAUAUGCUUAAACUCAGCGGGUAGCCCCGCCUGACCUGAGGU